This 35-nucleotide small RNA is filed under the name Bombyx mori (domestic silkworm). RNAcentral describes it as "ovarian small RNA-20205". Lineage: Eukaryota; Metazoa; Arthropoda; Insecta; Lepidoptera; Bombycidae. The record is from RNAcentral.
UACACGAAACUUACGGUACCGAUAUAGGCGGAUGA